Molecule: long non-coding RNA, 794 nt
Filed under: Zea mays
Lineage: Eukaryota; Viridiplantae; Streptophyta; Magnoliopsida; Poales; Poaceae
Description: long non-coding RNA (ZMAY_LNC003858)
Source: RNAcentral
CUAAUUCGACCCAAGGUAUGGCGGAGAGUGACUUCAAGAUCUACGUCUACCGCCAGUCUUUUGUGUUGUCGUUCAUCUGCGCCUCCUCACCGAAUCUCGUUAUACCUCUUCUCCAAGUAGGCAUAGGGCACUGCCCUUUUGGCCCUGCUUAAGGUAAAUCAUCAGAUUCACAUGUUAUAGUGGUUAGAGGUUAAGAACAAGAUCGAGUAGGAUCUAACACUACAGUGCUAGUUUUUGGCAGACCUCUCUUUAAUUUUCCUUUUGGAAAAAACGACAAAAUGUAGCUUUUCAUGCAUUUAAGUAUUCUAUAUUUAGGUUCAAUGUUGGCCAAAGUACGUUGCGGAUUAGUUUUCUCAAGGCUUGUCGUUCACAAAAUUUAAGGGAGCUGCUGGUUCAUAUAUGUAACUUACACAUGUAAUUAAUUUAAGCGGCCGAACAGAGACAUGCGCUUGGUGUAAGUCGGUACAUAAAAUAUCAUCAAUUUGGAAUCACCUCAUCAUAUCAAAAUAAUAUUUUCUUCGUUCUAUAUAGUAUUUAUUUUAGCUCUUGACUUUUAUGUCUAUAUUUAAAUAAAUAAUGAUAAAUAUGGAGUUGUAGACUAUAUUAUAAAUCUCAUAAAGUAAAACGGAUUUGAUUUUGGCAGAGGGAGUAUGUGGUAAGACGAAGUUGUUUGCUUUGCAUGCAUGUAUGCAUGGACGCGAGCGGUGUGUGCGUGGAUGUGAAACUAUCUCAGCUCUAGGGCGGGACGAAAUGCUAGUGGCUCAUCAAAUCGCUUCAAUUCAUAGUCAGUUUGG